GUAUUUGUUUCCUAUGCUGAGUUUUGCUUUUGCCCGGGAAGCCCAUUACCAGCUCUAAUAACAGCAUGGGUUCCAUUGGGGGGGGGGGUGUCCUGUUCCUGCCUUCCUCUAAAUCAGUUAAAUCUGGCCACAAAUCCUCCCUCUGUUUUGAUGCCCCUUGCUAUGGGAUUCUUAGUUAAAGAUUCUAGGUCCAGUGAAUGUUUUGACUAGAGGACAAAGCUCAGGUCCCUUAGAAAGAGUUCACAAUUCAUUUCCUGACUGCUAGCACUGGGCUCCGGCCGAUUCAGUAGUUACCAUGUCUUGGGUCUGCUUGGUGGAUGUCGAAGCCAGAUUUUGAGAGCGUCUAGGAGAUACUCUCCUCUGGUUCCCACCUCUCUGGCUAUGACUUCCUGGGUGACUGCUUGGAGGAAAAGAGGACCACAAGGAGACUGGUGCACAGAAUUCAUGAGCCUGACUGGUACCAACAUCUGAGCGCUCAAAGGUGGCAUUCCAGAGUCAGAGCUGAACCACACAGAAAGCAGACUUGGAAAUUUCACUUACUGAAGGGUCACCAUCAUCUUUUUCUUCAUGGACUGAAUUAUUUCAAGGAUCUUCAUAUCUGUUGGAAUGGGUUGAAUUUCAUCUUAAUAAAAGAUAAAUGAAAUUUUAAA
Molecule: long non-coding RNA, 650 nt
Filed under: Cricetulus griseus (Chinese hamster)
Lineage: Eukaryota; Metazoa; Chordata; Mammalia; Rodentia; Cricetidae
Description: lncRNA (ENSCGRG00015024467.2)
Source: RNAcentral